Molecule: ribosomal RNA, 497 nt
Filed under: uncultured bacterium
Lineage: Bacteria
Description: partial 16S ribosomal RNA
Rfam family: Bacterial small subunit ribosomal RNA
Source: RNAcentral
GAUGAACGCUGGCGGCGUGCCUAAUACAUGCAAGUCGAGCGAACAGAUGAGGAGCUUGCUCCUCUGACGUUAGCGGCGGACGGGUGAGUAACACGUGGAUAACCUACCUAUAAGACUGGGAUAACUUCGGGAAACCGGAGCUAAUACCGGAUAAUAUAUUGAACCGCGUGGUUCAAUAGUGACAGACGGUUUUGCUGUCACUUAUAGAUGGAUCCGCGCCGCAUUAGCUAGUUGGUAAGGUAACGGCUUACCAAGGCAACGAUGCGUAGCCGACCUGAGAGGGUGAUCGGCCACACUGGAACUGAGACACGGUCCAGACUCCUACGGGAGGCAGCAGUAGGGAAUCUUCCGCAAUGGGCGAAAGCCUGACGGAGCAACGCCGCGUGAGUGAUGAAGGUCUUCGGAUCGUAAAACUCUGUUAUUAGGGAAGAACAAAUGUGUAAGUAACUAUGCACGUCUUGACGGUACCUAAUCAGAAAGCCACGGCUAACUACGUG